Molecule: long non-coding RNA, 519 nt
Organism: Gopherus flavomarginatus (Mexican gopher tortoise)
Lineage: Eukaryota; Metazoa; Chordata; Testudines; Testudinidae
Exons: 4
Source: RefSeq, a predicted model, not a curated record
CAGGGGUCUGAUUGGGGUGAGUUACCGGGGUAGAGGGGCCCGUGGAUGUGACCCAGGGCAGGAUACCAGGGUAGAUGGGCCCAGGGGUCUGAUUGGGGUGAGUUACCGGGGUAGAGGGGCCCAUGGAUGUGACCCAGGGCAGGAUACCAGGGUAGAUGGGCCCAGGGGUCUGAUUGGGGUGAGUUACCGGGGUAGAGGGGCCCGUGGAUGUGACCCAGGGCAGGAUACCAGGGUAGAUGGGCUCAGGGGUCUGACUGGGGUGAGAUACCGGGGUAGAGGGGCCCGUGGAUGUGACCCAGGGCAGGAUACCAGGGUAGAUGGGCCCAGGGGUCUGAUUGGGAUGGGAUACUGGGGUAGAAGAGCCCAUGGGUCUGAUCUGACAGGGGGUGGGGGUGGGGCUGUGUGCAGUGCGCGGGGCUGUGUUGGGCAGCAGCACAGGAAGCCGAGGCAGGAAGCCUGAGGCUACGAAGCCGGAAGCCUCUUGGGCUCCUGAUAAGGCCACCUGAUGGGGAGUGAGGC